RNAcentral lists this long non-coding RNA (726 nucleotides) under Homo sapiens (human). RNAcentral's name for it is "HSALNT0071968". The record is from RNAcentral. Lineage: Eukaryota; Metazoa; Chordata; Mammalia; Primates; Hominidae.
GUAACCAGGGAGACUGCAGUUUGCAGUGAUGUGGCUAAGAUACCCUUGUGCUAUUAAAGGCACAUUUACGUAUCUUUCAACGCAGUUUGUACCUUUGUUUAGGGUUCUAUUGAACUUUCUCUGUGCUCUUUAGAAAACCGUCGAAUAAAGGUAACCAUCUUUUUGGGUGCCUGGGCAUGGUCAUUGUCCCAGAGUUUUAACAGAAGUCUCUACUAAAGUAUCCUGAUUUGCAAGGACUCAAAUGAUGCUGUUUUUGGACAGGGAGGUCAUGGACCAAGUACAAAGCGGCAAAAGGAUGGAAUUAAGGUACCUGACAUUGUUGAACCCAUGCCUGAUGCCACAUUAGCUCAGGACUACCUACAUGGACAUGCAUUUAGGUGGCUCUUCUAUUCUCUAAGACCUCAGAAUUCUCUUUAUUCUGGAAUUGGUUGCAUAUGAUAUUUCCAGUGAAAGAAAGAAGAAAGCAUGCUUUUCUCUUGACUGUGCAGAAAAAAAAACUAUGUUUCUUUGAUUCUCCAUUUUACUAGAUGCCAUACCUUUGCAAUUACUUCAUGUGGAGUCUUGACCAAGAUUCAGGAAAUACUAGAACUUUCAGUCCCAGAAGGUUACUCUGGGCAUUACUAGUCCCCAUCAUUAUGAGUUGAGUUUUACUAGUUAAUUUCAGACGAAAAAUAUUUGUUUUUCCCCAAAUUCUGGGGUUACGUACUUUUACUACCUAUGAACUGA